GUGGUCCUCAAACAGAAACAACUGAUUUGGGAUUUUACUUUCAGGAUGCUCUUGGCCUUCUCCCGGAGGAUUGUGGGUAGAUAGCCGACGAUCCCGAGAAGAACCAGCGAAGUGAGACCCUUCAAACUUUCUGUGCCAUUCCCGAAUUCUGUUUUCCCCCCAAACAAAGAUUUAUACAUAUUUAUGCGAGCCGAUCGACGGGAAGGUGGUCCGGAGGAGGGGAGGAGAAGCGGCGGAACUGCAGAGAAUCGUCCUUCAGCGACUGUCCCGCUCGGUUUGUUUGGAGUCGAACUGUCACCCAUCUCACGCUGCGAUGACCUUGGGCACAGCGACACGGGCGAGUUCUGAAGCUUCGAUUUGACACGUCAAGAUGUUGCGGUAAUGCGAGAUAAUUUUGGGUUUUUUGCCCUCCUCGGAGCAAACUGAAGUAAGGAAAUGUGGCAGAGUCCUUCUCCAGAGAUUACAGGCUACUUGAAGGACUCGGAGGGACAAAGCAUGUACACAUUGCAGCGCUAUUCACCCCAGCCAGCUGGAUUGCCUGAAAAAAAGGGGGGAAGAAAAAAAAAACCUUGUGAAAAGAAAUCCUCAACAAUGGACACAGAAGAAGUGCACAAUGCUAACAGUUUUCCAAAUACCACUGAUUGCUUUAACCACAAUGAGGGAAAGCAGGCGCUUUUUGCUGAGCUCCACUUCAACAAACAACAGGCUCACAAAGGCCUCCCAACUCAGGUUUUGUUGGGAGACAAAACCUCCUCGACCGUCUAAAUGCUCCUACUGAAGGGACGCAAAGUUCUUUCAGUUAGUGCCCCCUUUUUAAAAAAGUGGAGGGAGAAAAGAGAGCUGAGAAAAUAAAAAAAAGAGGAAAAUGGUCACUGGGCUGGUAAUGUGCGCUCUUUUUGUGGAGCGACGACCUUUUCAGGCAUUUCAGUGUAACAUAGAGACCAAUUCAGAAACAAA
Molecule: long non-coding RNA, 957 nt
Organism: Carassius carassius (crucian carp)
Lineage: Eukaryota; Metazoa; Chordata; Actinopteri; Cypriniformes; Cyprinidae
Exons: 4
Source: RefSeq, a predicted model, not a curated record